RNAcentral lists this ribosomal RNA (714 nucleotides) under uncultured Planctomycetota bacterium. Its description in RNAcentral is "bacterial SSU rRNA". It matches the Rfam family "Bacterial small subunit ribosomal RNA", at positions 96 to 819 of the family's 1533-position model. Lineage: Bacteria; Pseudomonadati; Planctomycetota. The record is from RNAcentral.
CGGCAAACGGCGUAGUUAUGCGUAGGUUACGUACCCUCAGGUUCGGGAUAGCCACGGGAAACUGCGGGUAAUACCCGAUGAUGUCUGUGGACCAAAGGUGUGAUACCGCCUGAGGAGCGGCUUACGUGAUAUUAGCUUGAUGGUGGGGUAACGGCCUACCAUGGCGACGAUGUCCAGGGGGUGUGAGAGCAUGGCCCCCACGACCGGAACUGAGAUACUGUCCGGACACCUACGGGUUGCUGCAGUCGAGAAUCUUCCGCAAUGGGCGAAAGCCUGACGGAGCGACGCCGCGUGCGGGAUGAAGGCCCUUGGGUUGUAAACCGCUGUCAGAGGGGAUGAAAUCAUGGUUGGUUAUCCUUCCAUGUUGACAGAGCCUCGAAGGAAGCACGGGCUAAGUACGUGCCAGCAGCCGCGGUAACACGUACUGUGCGAACGUUAUUCGGAAUCACUGGGCUUAAAGGGUGCGUAGGCGGUUUAUCAAGUCAGAUGUGAAAUGCCUGAGCUCAACUGAGGCACUGCGUUUGAAACUGAUAGACUUGAGUAUUCCAGGGGUAUGCGGAACUGCCAGUGGAGCGGUGAAAUGCGUUGAUAUUGGCAGGAACACCAGUGGCGAAGGCGGCAUACUGGGGGAUAACUGACGCUGAGGCACGAAAGCCAGGGUAGUGAACGGGAUUAGAUACCCCGGUAGUCCUGGCCGUAAACGAUGAGCACUGG